GACAGACACACCUCUCUCCCCUAUAUAGUGGAGGAUUUCAAUAUCAUCAUUCAUUCUUCAAAUAGGCUUGAUCUUGAAGUGGAGUGAGAUAAGAGAGAAUACAAAGCACUUCAAAUCCUGCCCCACAUAAAAUGGCAAUCAAUAUGAGACCUGAACCAUAUAAUGGUUAAAAGAAGAGGAUAAUGUAUAUUGACUUACUGACCUGAACCAGAUAAUAAAAUAUGCGAAGACCUUCAGGAUCCUUACUGCUCUGAACAUCAACAAGGGACCCAAUCUUUGAAGUUGUGAAAGAGAUGUGCUCAUUCCCCAUCACUAUCUCAAGCUCUUGCCGCCC
Molecule: long non-coding RNA, 334 nt
Filed under: Gossypium barbadense (sea-island cotton)
Lineage: Eukaryota; Viridiplantae; Streptophyta; Magnoliopsida; Malvales; Malvaceae
Description: long non-coding RNA (GBAR_LNC020533)
Source: RNAcentral